GACGAACGCUGGCGGCGUGCUUAACACAUGCAAGUCGAGCGAGAGGAUCUCCUUCGGGAGUGAAUCUAGCGGCGGACGGGUGAGUAACACGUGGGUAACCUGCCUCAUAGAGGGGAAUAGCCUUUCGAAAGGAAGAUUAAUACCGCAUAAGAUUGUAGUGCCGCAUGGCAUCGCAAUUAAAGG
RNAcentral lists this ribosomal RNA (183 nucleotides) under uncultured Bacillota bacterium. RNAcentral's name for it is "uncultured Firmicutes bacterium partial 16S ribosomal RNA". It matches the Rfam family "Bacterial small subunit ribosomal RNA", at positions 28 to 207 of the family's 1533-position model. Lineage: Bacteria; Bacillati; Bacillota. The record is from RNAcentral.